Cryptomeria japonica (Japanese cedar) is the source of this 1413-nucleotide long non-coding RNA. RefSeq lists it as uncharacterized. NCBI's taxonomy places the organism in Eukaryota, Viridiplantae, Streptophyta, Pinopsida, Cupressales, Cupressaceae. The record is from RefSeq and is a predicted model, not a curated record. The transcript has 2 exons.
UACCUCUUAGGGUUGAGUAUACAUCGUAAACAAAUUAAAGAAAAUAGUCUUUUUUUCAUAGGAAAGAGCACAAAAUGAUUCAAAGCUUCAAUUCAAAACGAGAGAUUUUUAGGCCUUUUAACUUAAAGCAAACAACCUACAGCAGCUAAUGAACACUCACUCUUUUCAGCUAAAAGCAGAGGUCAAAAAGGUGAGUAAAACAUGAGGAUUGAGUUAUUUAAAUUUUAAACAAAGGAAGCACAAUUUCGUAAAAGAAAUUAAGGAAUUGUGUACAAAGCCACAAUCACCAACUUUAGAGAAACAUGCAAUACAAGGCCUACAAAUUCAACAAGGUAAUUCUAUCUACCUGAGCAUACAUAUACAAGAUCUCUCGUUAGACAUUUGAAAAACAAUUUUAGGAGCAAGUAGGCAUAAAAUCCGUAUUGAAAAUUUAAGUGCAAGUGGCAUUCCUUUAUAAGGUUUACAAAACUCUGAAUGAGAAAUAAAUAAAUAACACUUCUAAACCAAGAAUUGUUUGCUUGCACAGGAAGCAAGCUUUUAUAUGAUUUUGUCCACAAAUUCUAAACCCUAAAUCAAGAAAUCUUCAAAUAGAUUUCUAAUACGGAUAACUAUGAACUAAAAAUAGACCUUUUAGAAUACCAUCUCAAAAUAGUUGAUCUAUAAAUAGAUUUCUAUCAUGUCCCCUUCAUGAGCUUGCAAACUUUAACUUUUUUUCUCUGUUGCCCAAUUACUGCUCUAUUUGGGCGAACUGGUAUCUCAUCCUAAGGCCAUCCAAAUGGGACUUUUUGGUCAAUGUAUUUAGUUAUAAAAUAAAGUUAUUUAUUUAAUUUUUAAUUUUGGAGGGAAAAACUUUAUUUGGGGGCCCAAAAUUGUAAUUGCCUAUGAAGGCAAAGCUAGGACCCCUUUUUGCAUUACCCCUUGUCAUUUGCAAAAUACAAUUUUUCAAAUUAAGUGCAAACAAGUAUGAUAUCCCUUUGCUGCAAUUUCCUGAGGAUGAAAACACUGAUAUCCAAUCGGAUUGAUUCCACUUCAAGAAUCCCAUUUGUAUUCAACGAUUCAGCUGAAGACAUUAAUUAUUUGAUCUGAUCUGAGUAUUAAGGCACCACCAUAAACAUAAUUCUAUCAAUGGCCGUUGGAAGGGCUGGCCCCUGAUCUGCUUACUGGUUAGAUUGAUGAAUUGGAGUUCAACAUAUUUUAGUGUGAAUCCAUUAGCCCUUGGCAAGUCUGCUCACUAAUCAGUCACCGCUCAUCCAUGAAAGUUAAUCGCACUUUGUGGCAGGAGUAGUGACUGCUGAAACCCCAGUUACAGUAGCUAUCUAUAAUUGUAAUGCCCUUUUUGAUGUACCAGUUAUACCCUGUUUUGCAUUCUAAUAACCAGUCUUUGGAGAGCAAUCUAAGCUAAGUUGCUAUUUA